UGGGUUGUGGCUCAGUGGUAGAGUGCUUACCUUGCAUGCAUGAGGAACUGAGUUCGAUCCUCAGCACCACAU
Ictidomys tridecemlineatus (thirteen-lined ground squirrel) is the source of this 72-nucleotide non-coding RNA. The record is from Rfam. Lineage: Eukaryota; Metazoa; Chordata; Mammalia; Rodentia; Sciuridae.